AACGAACGCUGGCGGCAGGCCUAACACAUGCAAGUCGAGCGCGCCCUUCGGGGUGAGCGGCGGACGGGUGAGUCACGCGUGGGAACGUGCCCUUCUCUGCGGAAUAGCCUCGGGAAACUGAGAGUAAUACCGCAUACGCCCUGUGGGGGAAAGAUUUAUCGGAGAAGGAUCGGCCCGCGUUGCAUUAGGUAGUUGGUGGGGUAAUGGCCCACCAAGCCGACGAUCCAUAGCUGGUUUGAGAGGAUGAUCAGCCACACUGGGACUGGGACACGGCCCAGCCUCCUACGGGAGGCAGCAGUGGGGAAUCUUAGAAAAUGGGGGCAACCCUGAUGUAGCCAGGCCGCGUGAGUGAUGAAGGCCUUAGGGUUGUAAAGCUCUUUCAGCUGGGAAGAUAAUGACGGUACCAGCAGAAGAAGCCCCGGCUAACUCCGUG
This 433-nucleotide ribosomal RNA is filed under the name uncultured bacterium. RNAcentral describes it as "partial 16S ribosomal RNA". It matches the Rfam family "Bacterial small subunit ribosomal RNA", at positions 29 to 507 of the family's 1533-position model. The record is from RNAcentral.